UAUUAAAUGACCCCAAAAAAAGCUGCCCGAGAGGCCUAGAAGGAAAGGAAUACACUUUUCCCUUCUCCCUUCCAGAACUGUCCAAAGUUUCUCUAGCAAGGAGAGGCCGCCUCCUUCUGUUCCCUCAGUGACCCUGAGAUUCCCUUAAAGAGGAGCAAAGAUUCCCGGCCCUCCCUGAGCCUCGAUGGGCCACUGACAGCAGAGAAAGAAAGCAUUUACUCCCAGCGCUGGAAUAAAAUACCAGGGGUAAGAUAAAUAUACUAUCCUAAGUAUGGGAUCAUAGAUCAAAGAGCAGGAAAGGACUUGUAGUCCGAUCCAUUCGUUUUACCGUGGAGGACAUUGAGGCCCAGAGAAAUGACCUGCCCAAGGGUCACUCAAAGACAUAAGUGGCACCGCUUGGAUUCUAAUUCGGGUCCUGUGACUCCUAGUUCCUCAAUCUUUCAACUGCAUCAAGCUUGGAAAAUGACAUGUCAUCGCUGGAAAAAAAAUUUACUUAAAAAGGAAAAUGAAACAAAUUUUACUUCCUAUUACAGUCGUUUUGAAAACCGAAGGCAAAAAGUGUUUGAGACAAAAAAAAAUACAUUUUACCUGAAAAAGGGUAAAUAGGCUCUUUGUGACCGUAGAAGGAGAAAAAAUAGGCCCACAUUAAAAAAGAAAAUUUUUUAAAUUCAACAAACUGCUAUGUUUCAGGCACUGGAGAAACAAAAAGCACAUUCUCUGUUCUAUGGGAACUUAAUAGUUUUGUUAAUGGGAUCAGACAUAAAUAUAAUAUUUCAAAUGCAUAGAAGAGAUCUAAUCAAGUGGCUCAGGAGUUUCAAAGGAGACUGACAGUCACCUUUAGUUGAGGGCAUGGGGAAAAAUCAACAAGCUUUAUUUAUUAAAUACUUCCUAUGUGUGGGGCACUGUGCUAGGCUUUGGGUUUACAAAUGCAAAAUGAGAAAGUCUCUGCCCUUAAUGUGCUCACAUUCUGCUGUAAAGAUGCAAUAUAUUGACAAAUACAUAAGUAGAGAGGAUACUGGGCACUGGCCACUCUGCAGAGUACCACUGAUGCAAUUCAGCAAGUGGAAGACGCUGGGGAUAUAGUGAUGAAUGGUAAUAGAAGUGCCUUGACAAGACUCAGGAACGUUCAUAGACAUUUGUGACAGGUUCCUGUUUGCUAACCAUGGAGGAGCCUUUUGGAUUGGCUGGGAAUGCAUUCAAAAGGCACUAAGCAAGCAGUUUCUCUUGGUUUGACUGUACUCCUAGGGAUUUCCUCUUGGUGGAUGGCUUCAGACGGCUAGAUGUUGGGAUCACACUGCCCAGGAAUUCCUCCUGCCUCUCUCCAUAAGGUUCAGGAACUCUCAACAUUCUUCCAAAAACCUGGGGUUAGGGAACUCCCACCAUAACGACCAUGUAUUUCCCUGCUCCAUGACUGGCACAUGGUUUCAGAUUACAUGGUCAACUUCUUUUGAACAGUCACGGGUCUCACUGAAGAGGCACUUUAUUGCUCCAUGCAACAGGAUGACAUUACAACAGAAGCACCAGAAGAACUUCACCCUCAGGUAAAACAACUUUUGAAAAGACACCAUGUAGAAUAUUCUGUAUCAUGAUGGAUCUAUCAGUCUUGACCUUUUUUUUGUCUCAACUAUCCAGGCCUUUGGACUUUUUUCCUUUCUUUGUUAUUUCAUGUCCAUUAACACUUCCUCUCUCUCCACCUUCUCCCACCUCUGCUCCCAUAAGUUAGGUAGGGAAGUAGUCUUAAAACAAGUACCUUGCACUAGGCACACAAAUACCUCAAUAAACAUCAAAUUAACCUGCAGUUAAUUUUUCUGGUUUUGGGCACCUUAAAAGAUCUGAUGGGGGAAGAGUUCCAAAUUAUUGGCUUUAAAGGAGGCUAAGGGACCUAUGAUUAUGAUAAAUCAUACUGUCAUCAAUUGCUAAAGACUGAAUUUGGUAAUAUUCCUGGCAGUAUGAGAUUUCCUGGCAUUACUCAAUAUAAUUUCAUAUCGCUAGAAAGCACUUUCCUACCCUGCUUUAUGUGUUGUAGAAAGGCCAUAUACAUUGAGGGAAGGUAAUAAUAGUUUAAAGAAAACAACCCCGUUGAAUGGUCCUACUCUUAACUUUUGCCUUGACUUGCUUUAUGACCGUGAGGUAAAAUGAGGCUAAGAAAUUAAUUUCCCUUGUUGGGCAAGUCAGAAGAACUAGAGAUUCCUCAGAAAGAAGGCCUAACCUAAAAAUAUUAACAAGUUUCCUCCUUGAGGCUGUUGAUGGAAGUCUUGGCUUAAAGAACAUUCACAUAUCCUUAAUUCAGACUAUUCCAUCUAACAACUGAAGAUACACCAUUAAGGCCCUGGUGAAAGGAAUAGCUGAAAUUCAAAAUUCUCAUACUAAAAGGCAGAAUUCAACAACCUGGCUCAUUGUAAGGAACUAAGGAUGUGUGUGUUUGUGUUUUAAAUCACAGGAACAAUGUCACAGGGACUGGCCAAGUAGCUUUAUAACAGAACUUUGUGAGGUUCUAGUUAGGUUUGGAUAUAAUUUAUCAGUAACUUUUCCUGAAGCAACAUUAUGCUAAUGUGUCAGUUUUUUAAACUUCUGACAUCUCAAAGUUUGAGUUCCUUAUGCAAUGAACUCAACUCACCUACUCUAUAGGUAAACUUAGCUCUGUAGAUGAAAUCUACUCAAUUUUCCUCAGUAAAAUCUCUUGAAAGAUUAAACAUGUUGAGAACUUCCCUAAUUCUUUUAGGCCACUUUGAUACCAUUUAAACAGCACCACAAACUAUUAAAUAGUUUUGUUCAAGUACAUGUUUGGCUAGAUGGUGGCUUAAGUUCCUUCUGAACUUGAAUAACAGGCAAGCAUGGUGACAAGAUUUGGAUCUAAAAGACUUGAGUUUGCCACUUCCUCCUUACUUGUCCAGCCUUGGGAAAGUAGUUUAUAGCCACUCUGAGCCUUUAAUUUCUUCAUUUGUAAAAUGGGAUAUAGGGGC
Phascolarctos cinereus (koala) is the source of this 2963-nucleotide non-coding RNA. NCBI's taxonomy places the organism in Eukaryota, Metazoa, Chordata, Mammalia, Diprotodontia, Phascolarctidae. The record is from RefSeq and is a predicted model, not a curated record.